GAAGAAGUAAGAUCGGAGUAACAAGAGACACAAGAAAUGGAUAGAAAGGAAGAAUAUAUGGAUACAACAGAGAAACCUGAUUAUGACAGUUAUCCAGCG
Ylistrum balloti is the source of this 99-nucleotide long non-coding RNA. RefSeq lists it as uncharacterized. The record is from RefSeq and is a predicted model, not a curated record. The transcript is spliced from 3 exons. NCBI's taxonomy places the organism in Eukaryota, Metazoa, Mollusca, Bivalvia, Pectinida, Pectinidae.